AUUUCACAUCACUAUGGACAUGACCUCAAUGAAACUGGCUAUGGUACUCUGGGUUUUCAAUGUACAAUUCUAUUUCCCUUCCUGUAGUGGAUGCUGUGGGGCACCACCUCCUUGAGGACCAAGGCACUCCAGCUGCCAGGAAUUUGGCUGCUAACCUCACACAGCUGAGCCUUCCAUGAAAAUUGCUCUCUGCCAAAGAGAACUUCCUAGUCCAAGGUCAUGUCUACUCUCCAGAGAUGUGACUGGAGUGAUUUGCACCCGGAUGCCUAGACUCGCCAUCUGCUCAAAGACUGCUCAGAAAGCCCUCCCAUGCAUUCCCCUGCUGCAUACCAGCCCACUCUGCCUGCAGCUGCUGUCUGCAGGACUUCAUAUCUAUGCCACACUGUGUAAAAGCUGUGCUUCAAGAAAUCACAAAAACAUUUUCCUGCACCUACUACACAGCCUGAGUGCGGCAUAAGUUGACCUUGCUUGCUAAGAAAUGGGGCAAGAAAUGCUUUUUUGUGUGUGUCAUGUCUGUUUGUUUUUCAAUUAAGAGAGGAAAGCAUUAGGCAGAUGGAAUGUACAUGUGAGGAUGAGGAGACAGAAAACAAGUAGCCCUUUCCAUCAAGAUAGAGGGUUUUCUGGGGUUGCUGGCUAUUGAAUGUCACUCCUGAUUUCUCUUUCCAAGGCACUGUACCACCAGCCUACUGAGAUUGUGUGGGAGCUUUCAUGGGGG
This 715-nucleotide long non-coding RNA is filed under the name Homo sapiens (human). RNAcentral's name for it is "non-protein coding MIR100HG:42". The record is from RNAcentral. Lineage: Eukaryota; Metazoa; Chordata; Mammalia; Primates; Hominidae.